GACGAACGCUGGCGGCGUGCUUAACACAUGCAAGUCGAACGGAAAGGCCCUGCUUUUGUGGGGUGCUCGAGUGGCGAACGGGUGAGUAACACGUGAGUAACCUGCCCUUGACUUUGGGAUAACUUCAGGAAACUGGGGCUAAUACCGGAUAGGAGCUCCUGCUGCAUGGUGGGGGUUGGAAAGUUUCGGCGGUUGGGGAUGGACUCGCGGCUUAUCAGUUUGUUGGGGGGGUAGUGGCUUACCAAGGCUUUGACGGGUCGCCGGCCUGAGAGGGUGACCGGCCACAUUGGGACUGAGAUACGGCCCAGACUCCUACGGGAGGCAGCAGUGGGGAAUAUUGCACAAUGGGAGGAAGCCUGAUGCAGCAACGCCGCGUGCGGGAUGACGGCCUUCGGGUUGUAAACCGCUUUCGACUGUGACGAAGCGUGAGUGACGGUAAUGGGUAAAGAAGCACCGGCUAACUACGUG
This 468-nucleotide ribosomal RNA is filed under the name uncultured bacterium. RNAcentral describes it as "partial 16S ribosomal RNA". It matches the Rfam family "Bacterial small subunit ribosomal RNA", at positions 28 to 507 of the family's 1533-position model. The record is from RNAcentral.